RNAcentral lists this long non-coding RNA (38934 nucleotides) under Setaria italica (foxtail millet). RNAcentral describes it as "long non-coding RNA (SITA_LNC003179)". The record is from RNAcentral. Lineage: Eukaryota; Viridiplantae; Streptophyta; Magnoliopsida; Poales; Poaceae.
UGGAGCGCGUGGUACCCCCCGCCGUCGGGCUCGCCGACGGGCCGGCCCUCCCCCUCCACCAGCCGCUGCAGCUUCUCCAGAUCGCCGUACGCCGCCGCGGUGUACACGUCGUUCUUCAGCGACUCGUCCUCCGCGGCCGCGGCCCCCGCCCCCGCCUCCGCCCCCGCGCCAUCCGCGGCGGAAGGUGCCGUGGACGCCGCCGCGACGAGGGAGGUCGAGGAGGAGGAGGUGGUGGUGUCCUCGAGCACCUCGAUCUCCGACGCCAUGGGCCGGGUGGGAUCGGGGGCGGGGACGGGUCAGGGAAGGCGGCGAGGGGGUACGGGGGAGGGAGGAGGGGAGGAGUGUUUGACCGGGCGUUGGUUGAUUGCGUUUGUCCCAGCCCAGGCGACUCGUGAGGAGCGUGGCCGGAGGCGGAGAACGAGAGGGAAGGUCGGGUUGAGGCCUGGCCAAUGGGGAUGUCGGGUUUUGCGUGUCAGGACCUCGGUUCUUCUCGUUUCAAAGUUUGGGCCUGUCAGACUGGAGGAUCUGGAUGUGGACCCUUGAAAUCUCAAAGCUUCCCGAACUGAUCCUUCCAGUCCGAAGCUAGAUUCAAAGUGUCAAACCACUAAUCAUCAACUAUAUAAGAUAUUUAAAGACAAUAUGCAAGAAACUAAGGUAAUCCUGCAACUCUCGUAACUCCAUCCAGACCAGUUGGUGGAUAAGAUACUCUUCACUUUUAUUUGGGAUAAGUGCUACCUAAGUUGUUUUCCCUUUGUUUUGUGCAUGCUGCAAAUAAAAAGCAUUGCAAUUGAAGAACAAUGGCUCAGUAUGUCCUCUAUUUAACAUAGCAUGCACUUUGAAGCAUACAACACAAGGUUUACAAAUAUUCGUCAGGCCCAAGCAAACGGCAUUCUGGAUAGUGUUUGCACAUGCACUUUGCUUCUUUAACUUUCUAUGUCAGAGAUUUAAUUUGUUGAUCUCAUCGAUUUGUAGCAUGCCCUCCUUAAAUUCUUUGCAAAUUCAAAUGUACUUUGCUUCUCUAAUUAGGUUUGGGUGUGUUGCCAAACUAUUCAAGUUUUGGUCCAAUGGAAGGUUAAGUCUCCAGUUCUGUACCAUGCAAGGGUAGUGUACAUUAGGCACUGUACAUUGAUGUUUAACCACGUUAGAUGGACCCCCUAAAUCUGUGGUCAAGCUCCACCUCUAGUACCAUGGAUGUUUUUAGAUUUUGCUCCAAUUUAUCUCUAAAUUGAACUUCUACGUAGAAAUGGACAUUUGGCAGUUCCUUUUGAUCAUAGCUUCAGUUAGUCAAUACCUGUCUGGUGUGCUGCUCGUUGUGCUCCAUGAUCAUACACAGGCAUAUAGCAAUGCGCAGAAAAAUGAACAAUAUUGUAUUGUACCAGAAUUUUCUCCGUAUGUUUUAUCCUUGCGAGUAUCUCUAAAAGAUUAGCAAAAAUAGCACAUACAUUCUGUCGGACAGAUGUUUCUGGAUACUCUUAAUCGCAAUAACCAUUAUUAAAUUAGAGAUGUCACCAGAGAAAAUAGGCACACCCAACUUUUUUUGCUUGCAUGACCAAGUAUCCUUCUAGAUUGAGACAAGAGGUGACUUCGAUGGAAAAAGAACUUUACCAUUCUUCUCUCUUCAGGUGUGUGUGUCUUCUCAAAAGCAAACUCAGAGUUGUGCAAGAAACAUGCUAUCAUUUCUAUUUCUUGCCACUUGUUAAUCUUUGACAAGAAUAUACAACACCUGCUGAAUAAUGCACGGGUUGGUAUGUUGGCGAACAGCUUGAAAAUGUAGGUGUGAGAAAAACAAUGCGAUGUAAAAGCAUUGCUUAUAACCAAACCCCAUGUAAUUACAUUACAUACAAUUGAUUCAUGUGCUAUUUCAUUCAGCUGCUGCAGACACAUCUGUGGCGAUGAGAGCACAUCAGCACAGUGAAUCUCACUUGUUGGCGAAUAGUCAGCUAAACCCAAGUUACAUUUCUGUUGAAGCAAGUUACCCUCAAGUCCUCAUUCCUCAACAGGCGACACCAGUAGCUGGUCCUUGUGAAGGCGAUAAGAGCACAGCGCAAGGUGAAGAGCUGAUCAACUGAAGAUGAUGGUCCCUGCAGCGAAGUAGUUCUGCGAAAGCAAGGAGAUCCCUCUGCCAGAAUCCCUGCUCCCCUUGGUCCGAAAACGGCAUCAGCUUCCGUGUCGGUCGUAUUCGCCGACUCACAUGCUGCCUCAAGAGAAAACGAAUUCGGAGUCCGUCGGCGUUUCCAUAUAUUCAGCUGCCUCAAGAGAAAGACUCGGAAUCCGCUCACAUGCUGGGUUGUGAAGCCGACUCGGACUGCGCACCUGAAGAAGCCCCCAAUAAAAACAGGAGGCAGGGGAGGCCGUUCUCCAACAAAUCAACCCAAAAGCAUAGCAGGGGGGGGGGGGGGGGGGGGGGGGGAAAAAAUAGCAAGAACCAAGAGAGAAUCACCGGCCGGAGUAGCAACCAUGAAGCGGAUCACGUCGAAGCUGCACUUUCUCGCGGUCUUGCUCGUCAUCUUGCUGCUCCUGCCCUCGGCUGCCAUGGCCGCCGUAGCCAAGGCCAUCGACGGAAGCAAGACCCAGCGACUGCAGCUGCCCGACGAUCUGGUCGGCCCUGAGAGCGUCGCGUUCGACGCGCACGGUGCCGGGCCCUAUGUCAGCAUCUCGGACGGCCGCGUCCUCAAGUAUGGCGGCGAAGGUGUCGGGUGGAAGACGUUCGCGUACAGCCCCAGCUACACCAAGAACAAGUGCGACGAGUUCUCUGAGCUUCCGGCAGUCGCCACGGAGAGCUCAUGCGGCCGACCGCUUGGGCUGCGGUUCCACAACAACUCCGGGAACCUCUACAUAGCCGAUGCGUACAUGGGGCUGAUGCGCGUCGGGCCAAAUGGCGGGGAGGCGACGGUGCUGGCGACGGAGGCGGGUGGUGCGCCACUGCGCUUCACGAACGGCGUGGAUAUCGACCAGGUUACGGGUGACGUCUACUUUACCGACAGCAGCAAGACGUACACACGGGCGCAACAUCAGAUGGUCACCACAUCUGGAGACUCGACGGGGCGUAUCAUGAAAUAUGACCCACGGACUAACAAGGUCACCGUGCUUCAGUCCGGAGUGACGUACCCCAACGGCAUUGCCAUCAGCGCCGAUAGGACCCACCUUGUGGUCGCGCUUACGGGACCAUGCAAGCUAAUGAAGUAUUGGAUCCGAGGGUCUAAGGCCAACACAUCUGAGCCGUUUGCUGACCUCCCAGGAUACCCGGACAAUGUGAGGCCCGAUGGGAAGGGAGGAUACUGGGUAGCAUUGCAUCGCGAGAAGUACGAACUUCCAUUUGGUUUGGACAAACAUUUACUCGCUAUUAGGAUCGGCGCUGACGGUGAAAAGCUGCAAGAGAUGAAGGGACCCAAGAACGUGAGACCGACCGAGGUGGUGGAAAGACAGGACGGCAAAAUAUAUCUUGGAUCGGUAGAGUUGUCAUACGUCGGCAUCGUUGGCACGUAGAAGUAUGUAGCUAGGUUUAGGACUUUAUAAGAUAUAGUAUUUGAUCUUUUUAGGAUGUUGCAGUAGCGUUCAUGUACGUUCUUUCUUUGUGUGGGUCUUUAAUCAAUAAAAUGUUUUAGUUCUAUGAAUUAUGAAUUAUGAUAUUUACACAUGCAUGGUGUCUGAAUUGAAGUGUUUGACACGUUGACGGGAUGACGAGAGAAGCCUGCCAAUUAGCCGACUUCCUCACUGGCUCACUGCACGGCCUCUCUGCUGACCGACGACGACACUUGAUCGGCCUGGACCUGGACACGGCCUAGCGCAGAUCGCCACGCCCCAGGCAGCUGCCAAAGCCACCACCAAACCCGCGCACCAGUCUCGCUGAACCCAAGCCGUCAACUACGAUCCCUGAUCGGCUGAUCGCCUGAGCGCGAGGCAUGGUUAUUGGAUUAUAAUGCAGAAACAUGUAGAAACUGCGGAACGAAGAAGUUUGUUAACAAAAUUACUUCUGUCCAACUACCACACUAGACAGUACAUACAAGAACAUACGUACAUUCCUAAGAACUCAAUAAGAAGCCUGAUCAAGAUACGGUGGUGUUGGACACUUGACCACGCCUACUAUAUGUCAGCGAGAUCAGGUGAUCCCACGUACCACUAAAAAUCAAAGCACCAAGCAAGAGCUAUUUUACGGUAUGACACUAAUGUUCGAAAAGGACUUAGUGUACGGUCAAAAUUAAUUGUUUGGUAUGGGUAGUGGCGAAUGCUAUAUAUCGCAUAUGCUGCAAUUUCACCACUUGUCGUCUUCUACGCCUCCGUGUAGGAAGAACUGGUGCGUGCAUGCAAGAGAAACAAAACUGAUGAUGUCUUCCUACAUGCAAAAAUGUUUGAAACUUAAAAAAACUAUAAAUCUUACACUGAGCAUCAAAAUUAAAUUUUGAUUGCACCAUUGGAUUUCUGACAAUAAAAGCUUCACAACAAGACCCCACUUGACUAUAUUUGGACGUAUUUUUUUAUUCAUAUUUUUUAAUCAAGGUUGCAUAUUUUCUCUGAGACAUGUAUACGUGGAACAAAUUACAUAAUAAAAACGUAUACCCUUAAAACUAUGGUGAAUACUAUUUAUUUUCUUUAUUUUCUCCUUUUACUUAUCCCGUCUCUAAUAUAUUUGUUCUUGUUCUUGUUAGUUUGUAUAAUUUAGUUUGCGUGUAUAAAUAUUUGUUCUAUAAGAUUGUCCAAUUAGUUCCCAGUAUAUAAAAUUUUGUUCCUUGAAUUUGAUGAUUGGUUUCGGACUGAGUUCAUAUAAUUUGUUCCAGACGUACAAUUUUUUAUUCCAUAAAUUUGUACAAAUUGUUGGAGAUCUAUACAUUUUUUUCGUUCUAUGUAUUCAUAUAAUUUGUUCAAUCUGUAACUUCUAUAACUUGUUCUAGUUAUACAUAUCAUAAAAAUAUUUUCACCUUCAUAAAAAUAUCUAUAAAUAAAUUUCAUCCAAACAUAGUUGAGUGUGAUCUUAUUUUGAAGAUUUAAGAUUAAUGAUGCAAUCGGAAUUUAAUUUAGAUGCUCGAUUUAUGGGUUAUGACUUUUUUAAACUUCAAAACUGCAUGCACGUGGAUGAUGUCAUCAAACUUGUCCUCGCUUGCAUUCAUGCAUACAUGCAAGAUUCUUUUUAUUCUCUAUAAAGAUGGGCCUUAUGGGCCAAAUAAAAGUAGAUAGGUCAUAAGUGCAUGUGCUGCUCCAAUCUUAAGGUGACAUGUGCCGAAUUUGUGGCCUUCAGUGAUAACUAGUCGCACCGAUAGUUAGUAUACAUGACUAAUAUAGAUAGUAUUAGGGUAUCAUGGUAAAUGAACACAAAUGACAUAAUAUAAUUUUAUUUUUGACACUAGCGUAAAGGUAGCAUAAAGUUUAAAAGACCAUUCCAUUUAAAGUAUCACUUUUUACAAUGUAAUAAUUAGUAAAUUAGAACGGUUAGAUCUAACUAGCAAUACUGCUUUUAGCAUAUCCACCUAGUCACGCGUCACGACCUGGCGAAAUCUGACAUGGAAACCGGUAACUAGUCUCACUCAUCUCCAUUUCUCCUCCUCCCAAAUAAGGUAGUGUUGGAUGCUUGGACUACACCUGUAUAAUAGCAGCAGGUGAUCCCAUUCUAUCUCUUCGCUCAAGAAAUCGAAACAAACGACGCUUUUAGCAUGUAUUUAUCCACCUCGUCACGACCUAAGGGAUUGUCAAUGACAUGGAAAUCCCUUUUCUUGCAGCGUCUGAGAGAGCAUCGUCGGAGGCGUAUGAAACAUGUAAACUCCCAAAACGGUAGCUCGUCUCACUCAUUAUCUCCAGUUCUCCUCCUCCUCCCCCCAAUCAGUUGCCGGCUUGAAGUGCAGUAUCGCCUUUAAUUUCCCCGUGUAUUCAGGUAGCACUACAAAUAGAGAGGAUUCCCUGUCAGUCCAUCGCAGAGGGAGACGUUCGCGGAAAAGAGAGAGGAGGAGGGAGGGAGGGAGGGUUCCUCGUCGCCGAUCGCAGCAUCAGAUUUCUCUUCGUUCCUCACCGGCCGAGAGGUAUGAAGAAAUUACGCGUUGCGCUCGUUGUCCACUGUCUUGGCCUGCUGCUACGUACUUGCAGCACAUGCUCUUUCAUAAACCUCGCUCCGCAGCGUCGGCUCCUUUUCUUUUGCACCACGCUGGAUCCCAUCCUACCAUCCGCAGUUCGGGAUAUGGCUUGGAUUGGCACAACACUGCACACCGAUCCGACGCUUGCCGGUCAUCAUCGAUCGAGCUGUUGUUGUUCGUACGUCUCGCGCGCUUGCCGUCGAUCGAUCGGGUACAUGCAUGGCCAUGUCGUCACGAACUUGCAACGAGUUCUAGUCCCCUCCUCUCGCCUACAGUAGUAGAGUCCAUGUUCAUGCCAAUCCUUUGUAGUAAGAUUAAGUUUCGCUAUGAUGAUCUGGCGGAGGUGCCAUGGCCGGCGUGCUCCUCUUCAGCCUGUGCCGCGCCGCGUUGCAAUUUUGAUGGCUGAAUUUCCAUGCAUGAUAGUAUGAUACCUAGCUCCUGAGCCAUUAGAGUUCUCGUUCCGAUGACCGGCAGCGGCGCCGCUCGCCUCAGCUCGCGCGCACAUGCGGCAGCUCCGGCGGCUGCCCGGUCAGGCGCUCACCGGUGGCGCGGUGCCGGCAUGCUCCUCCUGAGUCGUUCGGGUGUCCGCGCGGCGGUUCCUCGAUCCAUGCCCCCUUUGAUCCCUUCGAUGCUUCGUGUUACGAUCCGAUUGGAAUGCAAUGGGGAUUCCCACUGAAUCACUGACGUAGGAUAGAUUUUCUCCAACAUGCUAAGCUUUCUUCCAUGUUUUGACGUUAGGCUAUCCUAGUAUAUAUAGUUUUACCUCCAUAUGGCAUAUCCUAGCCAACGCCAUUCAAAUACACAUAAUUUUAGUUCGUUCAAACACGUAUGUUCAUCAAGCUUGCUCUAUCUCGGUACCAAAAUCAGAGGGUGUUAAAAUUUAUGUCACAUUGAAUAUUCGGAGGCUAAUUAGGAGGACUAAAUAUGAGCUAAUUAUAAAACUAAUUACAUAGAUGGAGGCUAACUCACAAGACGAAUCUAUUAAGUCUAAUUAAUCCAUCAUUAGUACAUGUUUACUAUAGCAUCACAUUGUCAAAUCAUAAACUAAUUAGGCUUAAUAGAUUCGUCUCGCAAAUUAGUCUCCAUCUGUGCUAUUGGUUUUGUAAUUAGUCUAUAUUUAAUACUCCUAAUUAGUAUCUAAACAUUCGAUGUGAGGAGGGACUAAAUAAACAAACACCCCCUCAGUAGUGCAUUUCACUUUUGUUUUCUACCAAAAUCAGUCUGGGAGUGUGGACUGCGGGCACUGGGCAGUGUCCCUGCUCUGCUCCCCUGCCUGCUCUGCUCCCCGGCGUCUCCCCUGCUUUUUGGAUUGCAGGGAGCGAGAGCUGGAGGCAGAAGGCCACCGUCGCGCUGUACCGGAAGGCCACCAAGCAAGAAAACAGGCAUCGCUUGCCAAUUGCAAGAUUUGUACAAACAAUCUGUAUUAUGGAUGAUUCCCUAUUUCCAAAUUGCAAGAUCUGUACAAACGAUCCAUUCGGAGGGAAGAGAGAGGAAAAGAAGAGAAAAAAGAAAAACGCGUCACUGCAGGUUCCAUAUGUAAGGUGAAAAGGCUUUUACAGUUUCACAGCUGUUUUCAACCAAACAGCUUUCAGCUUCCUCAUAGCUGACAGUUCACAACAGCUUUUUCACCGCUCACAGUCCACAUCAGCUUUUUCACAGCUCACAGCCCAACCAAACACACCCUAAAGCCCCCGUUGGCCUCCUUACCGGGAUAUAUAGCGAGUAUUUGUGCUCUAAAACUUUAGUAGAAUACAUGGUUAAAGAAAAUCAUUUUGGUCUUCCAGUGCAAAGAAAUUAAUAUUCUUGUAAUUUUGAAUAUAAUACAUUAUCAUAUAUAGAUAUUGUUGUGCAAUUUAUGGAAAUAAAUUAGUAGUUAUCUGAUAUAUAUAUGUAUAUAUGGCUAAAGGAAUGCAUUCUGCUGAACCAAUCAUAGAAGUAAUUUUCCUCUAGAUUUGAAUACAAUACAUUAAUAAUAGAUAUAUGCUACUAUGCUCAAUACUAAAAUUUAUAUAAGUUAGUACUCUGCCCGCCCAAAAAGAAUGGUAUUUUGGGAUUUAAAAUUUAUCUAAAAAAUGACAUCCUAGGAUUUAAAUCUCGUUAAGAUUCAAUCGAUGAACUAUUGCCUGUUUCCAAGGCUUGACAUUGAUAUGGUCAUCCAGUCAAGUCUAUAUAGUUUAGAUCCUAACAGUGUAAAGAACUUCACAUAGUAAUUAAGUAGAAAAUCAUGGUGUAAUUUUGACUCUAAACUUUAUUAGGUGAGGACGUAGAUAAUUGCUCAUCUUUUUUCAUGCUAAUCCUGACCUAGUAAAUAGCCUGGUCCACCUGGACAUCCCAAACUCGACCUAUGCCAGAUAUUGUCAAACAUUCUUCGGAAGUGCUAGCGUCCGGACGUCCGAUAAUUUUGUUUUAUCGGACGCUCCAUCACAAUAUUGAAAAAUAACUAUCGAAACAUCAAAAGUCAACACUUGCAACACCGAAGAUUGCAAUACCUUUACGUGCAUGAAACAUCCCGAAUUGUUUCGUGCAACAUUCAAAACAGACACAUUGCAAUAAAAAAAACAUCUCUUACAAUAUUGCAACAACGAAAGAAGAAGAGACGAAACAAAGAAAAUAACUAUAUGCAAUAUCAUGAACAAGUUGGUGCUGUCGGGGAUACAUCCCCAGUACCUGCAAGGAAGGAAGAAGUCGGACUCCUACUAGGAUUCCCCUGUAAUCCGACUAGGACUAGUCCCGUGUACUCCUACUAGGACUCCUCCUUGUAAUCCGACUAGUACUCUGCCCCCUGGAGUAUAUAAAGGAGGCCAGGGGUACCUAGCUCGGCAGGUCAUACCUCAACACCCAAGCCCAGAACACACGAGGACAACUCCAAUUCAUCAAAUACAAACCAACACACAGGACGUAGGGUAUUAGGCGAUCUAGCGGUCCGAACCUGUCUAAAUCGUGUUCCUUGCGUCACCAUUGGUUCCUUGAUUCUCGAUGACCCUUACCGCAUAAAAGACCACCUAGGGUACCCCCUAGGCGGGUUGCCGGUCUAAAACACCGACAGCUGGCGCGCCAGGUAGGAGGACUCAUCGAGUUUCUCAGCGCGAACUCAAUGGCACGGUCGUCAUCAAGCCCAUCUUCGCUAUCGAAGCGGGCGCAACCUUCGUUUUUGGAUCCUGGCUCUGCAUCGCCGACGGCGCUGGAUCGUUCCGGCACGAGAUCGUCAACUCCGACGGUGACCUCGGGUUCCAUCGCGAUUCGAACUCGAACUCCGACGGUGACUCCGGGUCCGACUACAACUUGGAGUCCGACGGCGACUCCGAGUCCGACUACGACUCGAAGUCCGACAGCGACUCUGAGUUUGACUACAACUCGAAAGUCGAACUACAUCGCAAGCUCGCCGACAACUACGGGCGGCUCGCCGAUGAUUUCAUCGACUACGUCGUAGGCACGCCGACUACUUCAGCCAAGCAUGGUCUACGCUCAAAACGCACCCUUGUCUCGGGGUCUUGGAUAAGUCCGACCCUCUAAGCCGGGGAUCGGGCGAUUCGAAGCCUUGCGGCAAGGGGUUGGGCGCAUCCGACCCUGGGACAAAGGGUCGGGCGAGGCGGAGUUCCAUCCUCAAAGGGUCGGGCAUGUCCGACCCCGGGACCUUGGGUCGGGCGAGACAGAAUGAACUACUCCUCGCCCGCGUCAAGACAACCACGAUCAGCUUGGCGACCACUCCGUCAACUACGGGCAGCUCGUCGACAACUUCAACUACGUUGCGAGCUCGCCGGCGACUACGGGCGGCUCAGCAACAACUUCGACUACUCCCCUCGACUACUUCGCUCGGCAACACGCUGAUGACUACGUCAUAACGCUCGCCGACGAUUUCUCCUAGUACGUCGCGGCGCUCGCCGACUACUACGGGCGGCUCGCCGAUGACUACUCCGACCACAUCGCGACGCCCACUGACGACUACUACUCGUCUCGACUACAAGGCUAGUCGAGGGCGGACUACCCCAAUUCUUCGUCUCGACUAAAAAAUUAGUCGGGGCAAACUUCGCGUCGUCGACAACUAGUCAGAAUCGCAUCCGACUAGUCGACUUCAUCAACGACCGUCACGGCUUCGUCAACAAUCAUCCACGAAUCAAGCUAAGUCACUUUUCUAAAUUAUUUUCCGGCUUAUUUUCCGUUUGCGCGCAACACGCGCUCUACUCGCUGGAAACUCUUGCGCGCAACGCGUGCUCUAUUCGUCGGAGGGCAGCAAACUCUUUCGCGCUACCGCGCUCUCUUUUUAUCGCAACAGCGAAUAUUCCCUUUUUUGCCCUCUUAAGGUCACUACUCUUCUCGAGUAGAACACGCCUGAACUCGUGAAAGCCUCAGGCGCAUCUGUCACGCCUAAGCCCAUACGCGUAUACGAGACAACGAUCUCACACACGCAGCGGCAACGGCUACCCAGAGACUGAGAGCCUAAGCGUAACAGGCUAACUACUCGGGAAGAGUAUGACUGAAACAAGAGCUUGACUCGCAAUCAUGCAGUCUCUUUCUUGUCGCAGCAGCGACUACUCUCACUUUUGUCUUCUCUUAAGGUCACUACUCUUCUCGAGUAGAACACGCCUUAACUCGUGAAAGCCUCAGGCACAUCUGUCACGCCUAAGCCCACACGCGUAUACGAGACAACGAUCUCACACACGCAGCGGCAACGGCUACCUAGAGACUGAGAGCCUAAUCAUAACAGGCUAACUACUCGGGAAGAAUAUGACCGAAAUAAGAGCAUGACACAACUUCAUACUGAUCAAUGAAUAAAUUUCAGCAGUUUCAAAAUCCUACAAAAAUGCUACAUAAUGUAUGCAUCUUUUCUUUCAGAUCGAGCUUCAGCGACGCUAAGCAUGCCUCCAACGGCACAGGCUAGUUCCCGAACUCGGGGGCUAAGCACCAAUCAGUACUCGGAAUAUCUCCAGUGGCUCAGCUAGCUCCCAGGUUCGGGGGCUGGACGUCACAAAACCACUCAACGUGGCUUGAACGACUUACCUGGCGCAUAAGCUCGGGGGCUGGACGCCGCAAGGCUACUCGAAUGAUGACCUGAGUGAAGAUUCAAGACCCUCGGGUUGAUUAUUCAAUCAAUCCAAGGCUCGGGAAGAUUCAAGAUUUUGACCCUCAGCCUGAUUCUACGAUUCAACCUAAGGCUCGGGGGCUACUCCAUAUGGAGUGCGACUUUCGCCGCCCUCCAUACACGAAGACUACAAUAUCAUGUUGAUCAAGACUUUGAGCACACCAUAGCCUCAUGACAGCUUUGAGAAGUAUUGAAAGAUUCAGCCUGACAAAGUACUCGAAGAGCACCAAGACUACUUGGUGAAUAUCUCAAGACUACUCGAAGACUGCUGCAUUUGACUAUGAAGCGCUCGGGGGCUUGUCGGGGAUACAUCCCCAGUACCCGCAAGGAAGGAAGAAGUCGGACUCCUACUAGGAUUCCCCUGUAAUCCGACUAGAACUAGUCCCGUGUACUCCUACUAGGACUCCUCCUUGUAAUCCGACUAGUACUCUGCCCCCUGGAGUAUAUAAAGGAGGGCAGGGGUACCUAGCUCGGCAGGUCAUACCUCAACACCUAAGCCCAGAACACAUGAGGACAACUCCAGUUCAUCAAAUACAAACCAACACACAGGACGUAGGGUAUUAGGCGAUCUAGUGGUCCGAACCUGUCUAAAUCGUGUUCCUUGCAUCACCAUUGGUUCCUUGAUUCUCGACGACCCUUACCGCACAAAAGACCACCUAGGGUACCCCCUAGGCGGGUUGCCGGUCUAAAACACCGAUAGGUGCAACACCCGAUUGCUGGCAUGUCAGACUGUUGCAAAACAGAUGAAACAUCAAAAGCCACCGUUGCAACAUCCAAAAAUAACUAUUGCAACAUCAUGAGGAACCUAUUGCAACACUUAGAUCCACGACAACCAGCCUGCCGCCGAAGGUCGUCCACCAUAGCCGCUGCCCGAUCCUUCCCUACUCGGAUCUCGCCAGGGUCGGGGAGAGGGCCACCGGAUCCGGUGCAAAAUAGAUGAAACAUCAAAAGCCACCGUUGCAACAUCAAAAAUAACUAUUGCAACACCAUGAGGUACCUAUUGCAACACUCAGAUCCACGACAACCAACCUGCCGCCGAAGGUCGUCCACCAUGGCCGCCGCCCAAUCCUUCCCCGCUCGGAUCUCGCCGGGGUCAGGGAGAGGGUCACCGGAUCCGGUGCAAAACAGAUGAAACAUCAAAAGCCACCGUUGCAACAUCCAAAAAUAACUAUUGUAACACCAUGAGGUACCUAUUGCGACACUUAGAUCCACGACAACCAGCCUACCGCCGAAGGUCGUCCACCAUGGCCGCCGCCCGAUCCUUCCCCGCUCGGAUCUCGCCGGGGUCGGGGAGAGGGCCACCAGAUCCGGUGCAAAACAAAUGAAACAUCAAAAGCCGCCGUUGCAACAUCCAAAAAUAACUAUUGCAACACUAUGAGGUACCUAUUGCAAUACUCCGGCAUCCUCAACCAACCGCCGGAGUGGGGGGAGAGGCGCCGCUAGGGUGGGGGACGAGGUUCCCGGAGUGGAGGAGCGCGCCGCCGCCGGGGUGGACGAGGAGGACGUUGUGCUGGGGGAGCGCGCCGCCGUUGGGGUGGGGGACGAGGCCACCGGGGACUUGCUGUGUGUGGAGAGAGAGAGAGCUGUUGGAGGAUUAUCUUGUUCGGUGAAUGAGGUAAAUAUGAGAAGGGAUAAGAUUCACGUGGACGGUAAAAAGCCACGUUGCAUCCGAUAUUUUGCUGGCGUCGGACGUCGGGAGCUUAGCAUUACCGAACAUUCUUACUAUCACUUAUCUGAGUGAUUAUAAUUUCCAGACUAAUUAUAGUAUCAGAGAUGUGGAAAUGAAGCUAUCACGUUGCAUACGAGAGGAGCACAUGAGCCCAAGCGAGAAGGCCUAUGCACGUGCUGCUCUUUGAAGCUGGUAUGCAUAUUCAUGCCUCUCCCCAUCAUCAUUAGAUUACCACGCACGUGUAAGAAUAACCUCACCAGAUGCACGUGUAUGCAACUAAUUCGCUAGUGGUCUCUAGCAUCUUUCAAUAAAUAAACAGAAACAAAUUGAUAACAUAAUAUAAGUAGUAAUAUUUUCCCUUAAGGAAAAAGUCCAUUAUACUACGACCCUCACCAAUUCCAUUUGUCUGUCUAACCCCUGCACAAAACUUAGCCUCAAUUUACUCCCUGAACUAUUUCACUUGGGCCACUCUAACCCCUAAUGAGAUUUGUAUCUUUUGUUUCUCCAUUCACAGAUUGAAUUGUAAGUUCAAAUUUCAUGAGCAGAUAGAGAACAUGGUGUUUUAUGUUAGAAAAAUACAUUAAAAUUUUUUCAUAAUUAUUUUCAUAGCUUAAAAAUAUAUAAUACAAACUUGAUCCUAAAGAUAUGAAACUAUAUGAAAACUAAUUGUGAAAAAUUUCUGUAGUAUUUUUCUAAAAUAGGGCACCUUGUUACAAGUGACCUCACAAAAUUUGGGCUUAAAAUCAAAUUAUACACGGAGAAAAAAAAAAAGAGAAACCUCAUUGGGGUAGAUUGGAGCAACUGAAAUACUUUGAGGGAGUAAAUUGAGCCUAGAUUUUGCUCGGAGGGUUAAGCGGGCAACAUGAAAUGGUAAGGGUAGUAAAAUGAAUUUUUCUCUUAAAAAUUUCAAGGCCUUGAAUGAAUGUAAACAUGUACACCAUUUUAUUAAGUGGACACCAAAUAUUUUGGAUAGAGAUUCCUCUUUGGAUAUUGAGCUUACUAGUGGCAGGGCCAGAAACUCCAAAUUUUCCUUGUUAGGGGGCCCGAUAGUGUUAUUUUUUCAGAAUUUAGUCAAAAUCUGAAUUUUUAUAGUGGAAAGUUGCAUUGCUUAGGGGGGACCUUGGCCUCUAUGGCCCCCUGGCUACGCAGCUCCCUUGGAGCUUACUACUACUGGACAGGAUAAAGAAGAGAUUUUGGGCUUACAUUAUACUGAUUUUAAAAGUUUAUAACAGAAUCUGAGGUUAAUAUAUAGUUGUUGUAAGAAUCCGAUUAGUUUUGUUUACAAGAUAAAUCAAAUUCAUUUCACUUGUCAUGCGUAUAGUUCUGGUUUGCUGGUAAAGAUGGUCUGGAAAAGUAGCAAUUCCUCAUCCUAGACAAAAAAAAUCUUGACUAGAAAUUGUGUUUUAUUAGUAUCACUAAAAAAACAAAAGGUCAACAAAACUAGUGACGAAAAUAGUCAACCUCAUCCAGUCUUCGACUAAUGCAUGGUAUUGUAGGCAUUCUCAAUGGAGAGGUUGAGUAUGAUUCGCUUGGACUGGAUAUCAGGGAUUUUCGCACUGGUGCUACUGAGAUGAGAUGUGGAGAAACCUGUUCUAGAGGAUGUAGAACAGUGGCAGCGUGCCUAGUCUCAGACGACGAGUUUCUAGCUACAGAUGUAUAAAAUAAUUACUAGUUACAGCACACGAAUCUAUGUGUAGAGAUGUGUUCGUUACCAUAGAUCUUGGUGAUGCAGGAUCAAGGGCAGGGCCAAAUCUGCUCUAAGGGGAGCAAAAAUUUGGUGAAGAAGAAGAGGGCAAAUUGUGGGGCUGAUGGUUCAUUCGUGUUUCGGUCUAACCGUUUUUUUGGUCAUCUACAGGUAUGAAUUAUUAUGGUAAAUUAACAUAUUUAAUAUAACUUCUAAGAAACAAUUUUCUUUGUUAUUAGUUUUAGCAAAAAAAAGCAUGGAACAAAUGGGCAGACCAACAAUAAUUAUCCCAUAUAUUUAUUCUCUCAAAAAACAUAGAAAAUAAUUACAUACAGAUAAUACAUGCAUGUGCCAUCAAAAGUAUUUUACUUUAGCUUUUGUUUACCAUCUCUGGAGAGGUACCCAAAUUCAAAGCUAUCUCUUGGUAACUUUCCAAAAACACUUUUCCAAGAACCUAAAAAAUAUUAUUUUUUUCUCGAAUAUGCAGAAGAACUGCGCAUUAAGAUAGGAGAAAGGCGUGCGCGCACCCACUUGCCUCGAAGGCCAAAAAAACAUUGUUCUACUUACAUGGUAUCUUUCUGCUGAAUGGUCGAGUGCUUCAUCUUUGAUCGGCACCAAGCUCCCAUUAGAUGAUACCUAUUCUUUGAAUUGCAUGUGCAUGCAAAGUUGUGGGUUCUCUUUUCGCGACCGUGGCACGUAUUUCAUUAAGUAGGAAGAGAGAAGAGAAGAACAAAGUACAGAGUUUCAGAGUUACAAGUGGUCAUCUAGAGAGAUUGACCUUACGAGCACAAAGAUGAUGUAGCAACUCCUUUCAAAUAGUAGAUGGAGAGUAGCAUAGCACGCCAGACGAAUCUCCACAUAUUUUCCCACAAGAAGUGCAAAUACUUCAACACCUCAUCCUUCUUCACUAUAUAUAUGACGGGAAGUUCUAACCCUUUAUAUAUAGAUGACAUAUUGGUGCUCGAAUACUUAAAUGGAUAUAGAUGGCUAAAGAAAAUAAUUCUAAUAAACCAAACCAAAGCGAUUAAUAUUAUUGUAAAUUUGGAUAUGACACAUAAAUCAUAGGUAGAAAAAAAAAGUGAGAAUGAGAGCCCCCCGUUCCCCUCCGCCAGCGCCCCACCUUCCUCCGCCACCGCGAUACCCGCCGCCACCGGCGACAGCCCUAGCCUACCCCCGCAGAGCUUCAGCGGGUCUGAAACCCAACCUGAACCUACGCCCCCCAUCCCCAAUCACCCCGCUUUCAAGGAGAGCAGGGGAACAGUUCGUCAACGCCUCCCCACCGCCACCUCCACAGGUCCACUAUCCGCCGCCGCUCGAGGCCGAUUGGGUGCCGGAAUCGCCGGAUUCGCAGGCCACUUCGCCGGAUCUGAGGAUCCCCUUGCAAGAUCUGAGACCUGGCAGCUACAAGCCUACCCCCGCCACGAAGGAUGAGACGCGGUCCUAUGCGGAGGUCGUCAGAGGCAGGCGUUUCAAUUCUCCAACCGCCCAAAGCUCUCCGCGGCGCCACGGGGAAGGGAGCGCUCCAGUCCAUGGGCGACGGAGUAACUCCGAUGACAAGACGGCUCCGCGGCGCAUUCAAGACCCUACGUCAGCGGCGAGACGCUCAGGGCCCUGGUACGGCAAAGUAAAGGAACUAUCUCAGCACAAUCUGGUGCGCCAUGACUGGCAGCCAGUGAGGAGUCGAAGGACGCGGCGGCAGGCGCUGCCCGAGAUGCCACGACGCGAUGGCGGAAGUGACCGGAGCCGCAGAAGCAAUUCAAGGAGGCCACCAACCAAGGCGCUGCUUGCCUUCAAACGCGAGACUGAGGGCUGCUGCUUUCGGUGCCUCGCCCCAGACCACCUCGCCUCGACGUGCCGCGACCCCGUGCGCUGCUUCCGGUGCCGGCGAUUCAGGCACAGAGAGCGCGAGUGCGGGGCGGCGCGGGCACCACCUCAACGGAGACCCGCCAGACACGGGCCGCCUCCUCGCACCACGCCAGCCACCCGACGACGACAACCAGCUGCCACGCCACCAGCACAGCCGCGCGCCACAGCUCCUGCCAGCCGCCUGCCGACCAACAACGCCCAGACCUCGACACGCCACCACCCCCUAGCAGUACCACGCCGCGCGGCUCCCAUCGAUAGCCAGCCGCGAUCGGGCUCCACUCUCGCUGCCAGCCAUCCUCCACCUGAACCAAGAAACACCACAUCCAAAAUGGCCAUAGGAGAUCCAAACACGCGGCCAGAAGUAGAAACCGUGUUCGUCUCCAACUCCUUCCACCUUGAGAAUGAUGCGCGGGACUGGGAAGCCUGCACGCUCGUCCCGUGGGCACUGCACCUGCCGCCGGACACCGGAGCCAGGGACAUCGCCAACCUCCUUACCAGAGAGCUUUGCCUACGGCCUGGUGACGUCACCGUCAUGCUCCACCAGCCUGAACCAUACCUAAUCAGGUUCGAGCAAGCGGAGCACGCGGCGGAGGCACGUCGCUGAGGGCGCUUCACAGGAGCGGGUAUUGACAUCUGCCUACGCACAUGGCGGAGCCUCACACACGUCCUCGGCUUCCGCAUCUUCUACAGGGUGCGCCUCUGCCUCGACGGCAUCCCGUCACACGCCUGGAUGCCGGAGAUCGUCGAGCGUGUCAUCGGCCACAAGUGUGCCCUGCAGCACAUCGUCACCGACCUCCUCCAACCGGCGGACUCCAGGCAUAUUGAGCUCUGGGCUUGGAUGGUGGACCCGAGCAAGAUCCCGAAGAAGGUAUGGCUUGCCUUCACCCAUAACCCAGCGGCAAAAUCCUUCGCUUUUGUAGUCUCGGCCGAGCCCCCGCAGCUAUCAUGGCAGCAAGGGGCCCGAUAUGAAGUUUUCAUCCACAUGCCACUCCUGGAGGACUAUUCGGCGGCGGCACGCGAUCUUCAGCAAGCCAUUGACAACCCGCAGAGCGUCACCCCAACUCGGCGGCGCUAUGAAUGGCGCUACGGCCUCGUCGACAGUGUGCCAUCUGAUGCAAGGUCGCGCUUUCCGGCGCGACUGCCUCGACCACCGCGGGAACCGAUCGACGUGGAUCCACACCAUGCUGACCACAGCAGGGGACGACGUGCACCAAUGGGCGCCCCCAGAGCAGAGCACGGCGCCCGGGCCGCGGGCGGCGAUGGAGAAGGCGGAAGCAGGCGCGGCGUGAGCGCCCGUCAAGACCCGCGCAACAAAGAUGACCGCACCAGGCGCCGGCCGGCGCGACAGCAUUGUGAUGAACGGCCAUUCGUCUGGCUGACCCGCCGCGGAGAUGAAGAUGACGACAACGACGGCGACUACGACCACCCAGGACAGGGGCGCAAGCUCGGCGAUGACUACUGGGGCUAUGCGGGCACGGUGCGCCGUGACCGCACAAGAUCACCCCCAAGACGCAACUACGCGCCUCCGCAUGGAUGGCGCCAUGAAGCCGGCGACCCGGGGCUAAACAACUUAGCUCCGUCACAACUCCAGGCCCUCUUCGUGGCGCAAGCCACCCUCUUCGUGGCGCAAGCCACGACGCUGAAGAACUACAUGCAGCAGCAGGUAAUCGAGGCACCUGAUACGACUGACAUUUCCACUUUGGAUGCUAGGAAGCGGUUCUGGCACGCCGGCGCCGACGAAUACAUCCGCAAAGCGUGCUGGCUCGCCGACCGCCUAGGCAUCGAGGACGCGGUGCAAGGGGAAAAGGCCUGGUCCGACCCGGUGCCGCUGCCGCGAGUCUUCAACAGUCUACGAGCGGCGCUGCUACCAGCUUCGGCGACGGCGACGGCGUCACCGACGAUUCAAGAGGUCGACCGGGCACUGGAUGUCUUGUGCAUCGAGGCUGAACAAAAAGAUGCAAGCAACAUGGGCCAAGAACACGAGCAGACGACAGCCCAGAGAGCCACGGGCAAUAAGAUCAUUAAUGCGGCCCAAGUAGCGGAGCCUAAACCACAGCAAGCCGUCUCAGCAGGCGCAUUGGUAAGGCGGCAUUCCAAGGUGAGCGGCCAAUUACGAGCUGGGCCGUGGCAGGCCCAACAAACCAAGGCACUUGCGACACCUCCUGCAGGGGCCGCAACUGAGUUGGCCCGCGAAAAAUCACAAGCCGAACCCUCCACACCACCGCCUGCAACCAAGAGCACCAAGCCCACCAGUGAGGCCCAUUACUCGCCACAAACACUAGAUGAGGCCUACUACCAACCGUUAGACACCCAUCCUGUAAGGCCAGCGGAUCCCCAAUCCAAUCCAGAACAACACACGCCUGUGCACCAGUCACCUGAUGUUGCGCCACAGGUAGCCCCUGCUGUGCCUGCCCCACAAAUAGAUGACCUCUUCGCAACCCCGCCGCCGCCAGCAUUGCUACAGCCCCCACCGCAGCGCACACGUCGGGGCCGCACCUUCGACAUGAGUAAGGUGCGGCGGAGCGCGUGCCUGGCGAAGAAGCCAGCCAUGCCAGCAGUUGAAUGCGCGCAGCGAAACUUAUGGAGAAAAUUAGGUGUUGGCAAUGAUGAGAUGACGCCAAUUGAGCAGGUACUGUAGGAUUUCUUUAACAUGUUUCAGGGGGCGCUACCGGACUUCAUCAUAUUUGCUAUGACUGCACUCUUCGACCUCGACGACGAAGCUGCCGACCAAGUGAAUGACGCACUUCUACAGAUGGCAGGCGAUGAUGUGGGAGAGCUCCAACAGGUGGAUCACGCGGCUACAUGAUCAUUCCGCCACUGCAUCUGCACCAAGUGUCUUACUACUACUCCAUGUAUCGCUAUCUUUAUGUACUUCCUAUUCCUGUGCCUCACCCUGCUGGCUGCGACCUUCGGGCAAAACUCGUGAACUACAAACUAUGCCCCGACUACUAUCAACCUAAACCUUGGAUGGCAACUACUACAGCGACAAAGCGCGUCAAUGGACAUGCUCCAGCGGCAAAAAACACCUCCGAUUUUUGAAUAGCGCACCCACGCGAUCAGUAUCCUACGAGACACAACAUCACUGCCGCAACAAAUGCUCCUAAACUGCAAAUCGCCCAGUCCGCCAGCAAGCGCCCCAAAAAUAACUUAGAUGAACGGCAACUUUGAAAUAAUGAGUUGGAACGUGCGAGGUCUAAACGCACCCGCUAGAUGUCUCACAGUAUGUGAAACUAUUGCGACGACAACGUGCCACAUCGCAUGUUUGCAGGAAACGAAGCUGCAAAAUAUAGACGUGGCCCUAGCAAACCUUCUAGGGGGACCUCGCUUAAAUAAAUUUACAUACAAACCGGCUUCAGGCACAAAGGGCGGAAUCCUCCUCCUCUGGGAUGACAGGGUUUUCGACAUGCAGAACUUCCAAACGGGGCGCUUCUCUAUCUCAGCAACAACAACAGUAAAACACAGUAACUUGCACUUCCGACUCACGACGGUAUACGACCUAUCACACCACUCAGCGAAGUCUGCCUUCCUGCGCCACCUGCAGGCCAUGGGGCCUGAUGACGACACCAAAUGGCUAGUACUGGGCGACUUCAACCUAAUAUACAGCGCAAGAGACAAGAAUAACAACAACCUAAACUGGAGGCUAAUGAGGAGCUUCAGAGCAACACUAAAUCAUUGCGGACUCAAAGAAAUACACUUACAAAAUAGGCGAUUCACCUGGAGCAAUGCAAGGCAUCAACCGACGCUAUCGCGAAUCGACUGAGUCUUCUGCAAUGAACCUUGGGACCUACAAUUCGAUGAUCAUGUCCUCCACGCUCUCUCUUCCUCGCACUCGGACCACUGCCCUUUACUACCGGCACAGCAAUCUGGUCCUCGCAAGCCGACACCUUUCAAAUUCGAAAACUUCUGGACGCGGUUACCAGGAUUCUAUGAGGUAGUCGCCCAGGAAUGGUCAAAGGCGACGGCCCACACUGAACCAUUCCAUAGACUGGGUUACAAGCUGCACAAAACAGCCCAAGCACUGCGAUCAUGGAGCCGAAUGCACGUCUCGGAUGCCCGCUUAAAAAUGCACAUGGCCCAAGAAGUUAUCCUGCGCCUUGACAUAGCGGAGGAAACAAGAACACUCACUGAAUCGGAACAUGACUUACGGAGCAAGCUCAAAAAAAGGCUCCUAGGAUGGGCGGCCAUAGAAAAAGCAAGGAAGAAACAAUGCUCCAGGAUAACCUAUCUGCGCGAGGGCGAUGCUAAUACAAGGUUUUUCCACCUGAAGGCGAAUGGUAGAAAGAGAAAAAACUUCAUCCAACGACUAAAGAGAGAAAGCGGCUGGGCUGUAACUCACAUGGAUAAGCAGCAGAUAAUCCAAAAUCACUUCGACAGCGUGAUGUCCACACCAACCAACCCGCACCAAAGAUUUAAACUGGGAAAAGUUACAAUUCCCAGAGGUGGAUUUAACCGGAAUCGACAGCCCUUUUUCGGACAAGGAAAUACUACACGCAAUAACUGACUUGCCCAAAAACAAAGCGCCGGGACCGGACGGCUUCACUGGUCUGUUUUUCAAAUCAUGCUGGAACAUAAUAAAAGGGGAUGUCAUAGCGACAGUAAACGCUUUCUACACCGCUAGAUGCAACGACCUCAAUUUAGUCAACUCAGCCAACAUCGUCCUAAUACCCAAAAAGGAAGGAGCCGAAAGCAUCAAGGAUUUCAGACCGAUAAGCCUCAUACACGCCAUUUCACAGACACAGAAGGCCGACGCUGCUAAUGAAGCUGGACAUCUCAAAGGCCUUUGACUCUGUCCGAUGGGAUUACCUGCUCGAACUAAUGCAACACAGAGGCUUUCCCACGCGGUGGCGGGACUGGAUAACUGCAUUACUGGCCACAUCAACUUCCAAAGUCCUGAUAAAUGGAAUCCCAUCUGAUUCAAUCGCACACGGGAGAGGACUACGACAAGGAGACCCGCUAUCCCCCUUCCUCAUCAUCCUUGCGAUAGAUCCGCUGUACCAACUAAUACACAAGGCGACGGAAAUGGGACUACUCAAAAAGCUCGGAGGGCGUACGCCACGCACCAGCAUCUCCAUGUAUGCUGAUGACGCGGUCAUAUUCAUAAAACCGGCACAAGCAGACGUCGCAAAUGUAACAAAGCUAUUGAAUCUUUUCGGGGAGGCAACUGGGCUUAAAACAAACCUACAAAAGACAACUGUGGCUCCCAUCAGUUGCGAUAACGUAGACCUCGAAGAAAUCCUCUCAGAGUGGCCGAUUGCUCGCACAGGCUUCCCAUUAAGGUACCUCGGACUACCACUUGCGAUAAGGCGCCUAAAGAAAUUGGACUUUCAGCCCCUAAUGGACAAAACAACACAGAAGCUCUCCGGAUGGCACAGUCGCAACCUCACCCAAGCAGGACGGGUUUGCUAACUGUCAUUAUACCUACUAACUGUCAUAAAAGCACCAAACGAAGUUUUAGACGAACUAGACAAAAUAAGGAAACGAUUCAUCUGGGCCAGAGACAAAACGCUUACAAGCGGCAAAUGCAAGGUUAAUUGGAUCAAAUCCUGCUUACCAAAAGAAAAUGGCGGGUUAGGAGUGCUAAACCUCCACAAAUUCGCUAGAGCAUUGAGACUGCGAUGGAUUUGGCACGAGUGGGAGUCACCACGAAAAACAUGGAUUGGAACGGGGAUACCAUGUGACGACUCCGAUCAACGCUUGUUCGCAGCUUGCACAACGAUCACAGUGGGUAAUGGACGCAAAACAAGCUUCUAGCAUUCAGCCUGGGGACAAGGAACUAGGCCAAAGGACAUCGCGCCCAACAUAUAUAUGCUAUCCAGGGGGAAGCAUAAAAAACUAGCAGAAGCCUUAUAUGACAAUAGCUGGGUGGCGGACAUAAACAUUCACGACGGACUGACAACGCAACACCUCCAAGAAUUUGUAACACUCUGGCGUCUAGCAACAAUGGUGCGGCUGCAAACACAACAAGAAGACACAAUUCGAUGGAAAUUCACGUCCAACGGAAAAUACUCAGCGGCAUCAGCAUACAAGGCGCAGUUCCUGGGAUCCACUUAUGCACCACACUACAAAACAAUAUGGCACUGCUGGGCACCCCCGAAGUGCAAAUUUUUCGCAUGGUUGAUCCUCCAAAACCGCGUAUGGACAGCUGAUCGACUUGCGCGACGAGGAUGGCCUCACUCCCCUGCAUGCCCCUUGUGCCGUAUACAACAAGAGACAGCACACCACCUAGUGGCUCAGUGUAGAUACACCAAGCGAAUAUGGAGCCUCGUGGCCACUUGGGCAUCACAACCAAGCAUACAACCCUCGGAAUGGCCCCCAACCGACAAUGCCCUGGAAUGGUGGAUGAAUAUGACUACAAGGACCGAAGCACCUCGGAAGGGAACAUGCUCUAUGGCGCUGCUGAUAAUAUGGGAAAUCUGGAAGGAGCGGAAUAGGCGAAUUUUCAACCAUCAAGAGAUGGCAGCACCCUCAUUGCUGGCCAAAAUCAAGGAGGAAGCAGGCACAUGAAUUUUAGCAGGGGCAAAAGCUUUAGCGACUUUUUCAUCUAGAGAGUAAUCGUGUAAGAGUGACAUAUUUGAAACACUUCUGUAAUAAUCUACUCUAUCAAUGAAAUAGGCACUGUCUCGUGCCCAUUCAUUCAAAAAAAAAAUCAUAGGUACAACAUUUAAUAAUUCUCUAAUAUAUAAAUAUGGCUAAAGGAAUGCCUUGUCCUGAAUUAAUGCAUAGAAGUAAUUAUUCCUCUAGAUUUGAAUAGGAUACAUUAUAUAUUGUAGAUACAUACUAUGCUUAGUGAUCUAAGAGAUAGAUAUAAGUAACAUGAAUGGAUUCUAUAUGCUCAAUCAAAGCACAUCAACUAACUAUUCCUACAUAUUUAUAUGGGAAAAUCCUUUCUACGUGCGGCCGUGUAGCUACUCCCACCUGCGUAUCUCAUGGUGCAGGACGUAUCCGACCCAAAGAAGAGUAUGUACGUGGACUUAUCUGACCCAAAGAAGAUACUGAUCCUGUCAUCCAGAGACGAGUCUAUCUAGUUCAGUCCCAGAGAAUGCGAAGAACAGAUUAAGUAGAAAACUAUGGUAUCAUUCUGACCUAAACUUGAUUAGUCACAGAUGUUGGUUCAUCUGGAUAUAUAUGACGCGGUUUCUCGGGCUAACCGGCCGGCAAAACAGUUUGAGUAACUGUAGCAUUUUCCCGUCUUAAUGAAACAUGCAUGUGGUCAGGCACGUUCUAAAAGUAAGUAACUGCACCAUUAAUUUUGAGUAACCAUAUAGUUUCCUGUGAGUAAACUUAUAAUAGCGGCCAUCUUAUCUGUAUAACUCCUAGAGAUUGUCAUAGUCAUGGGCGACAGGAAAUGUGAAUUGUCAUAAUCUAGAGCCAGUAAUCAACCCAACCAAGGUCUUGAAUCUGGAGUCAAUUUUUUUUCUUCCAAAUAGUGACUUCUUGAGUUCAAUAACUCACGGUAAACCAUGAGUUUUCGAAAUCAUGCAUCCCAAUCUUAAGGAAGUGCACUAGUAGGUUCUUUUGUAUCACUUUUGGAUAGUCAUCGAAUUGCCGAACCUUUGAGCAGCGGAUCGACCGCCGCAUUCCCUCUCCUGUUCUCAUAGCUGGAUAAUAGCGCGCGGCAACAAAAAAGCCAGCAUCGUUUCUGAUCUCCUUCACGUACACAGCCAGUUGCUUGCUUGCGACGACCAUGCCGCUGCAUGAAGAAUAUGGACCGGAUGUUUAGAGUAGUCAGUAAGCAAACACUGCCUAAAGUAAGUUUAUUACAGAGCUACAUGCUGUCUUGCUGCAUUGGCGCAAAUAUCCAGCGAGUGAAUGACUGCUGGGCAUUUCAGACUUGUUUAAACAGAGGUCAGUAGUCUUAGUAACGCUGCACACACGGGUAAAAUAGUGUAUGUAAACCAAACCAACGGCGUCGGCGACGUCUUAGCGGUGUUUGGUUCCACAUGCUAAAGUUCAGUCCCUGUCACAUCGAAUGUUUAGAUACUAAUUAGGAGGACUAAACAUAAACUAAUUAUAAAACCAAUUGCACAGAUGGAGGCUAAUUCGUGAGACGGAUUUAUUAAGUCUAAUUAGUCCAUGAUUUGACAAUGUGAUGCUACAGUAAAUAUGUGUUAAUUAUGAAUUAAUUAGGCUUAAUAGAUUCGUCUCGCGAAUUAGCCUCCAUUUGUGCUCCAUUUGUGCAAUUGAUUUUGUAAUUAGUCUAUAUUUAAUACUUCUAAUUAGUAUUAGACAUUCGAUGUGAUACGGAUUAAACUUUAGUUCGUUUGUGGAACCAACCACCACGCCUCUCCGCAGUUUCUAAGCGAAAGCGAAGGUACGCCGAGAUGUAGUAGGCGAUUCCGCACUGACACUUUGUGGGACACAAUUUCAAUUCGGACGAGCUGUCUAUUCACAAGUUGCAAAAUAUCGAAUCCCACCCACAGUUGCACACCGUUGUCUGGACAAAGUUGACGGGUGGGUGGCGGCCUAAUCCCGUGGAAGAUAAAUCCAAUGCUCCCAUUUGCCGCGACAAUGGCGAAGCGUUGUUUGAUGCACCAGCACUUGUCAACAACGCUGACUGGCCCUCUGGCGACUCGUUAUGAUGAGCCAUUGGUAAUUUCAGGACCGAAGAGUGAUCCUGCAUACAAUUACCUUGGAGUCCAACUUACCUAACUCUUAUCCCUGAUAACGUGAGGCAGUUUUUGGAGGGACUUGUAUCCUGAAAAGCUUCUGUAACCAAAUACACGUACGACUAUAGGCGCAUCAUGCCUGUUCACUCGAUAGCAGCAGAGGUGGUUCAUCUGGAUGGACCGGCCUCCGAUCAACAACUUCCCCAGUUUCCCGUGCAAGCAAGGGGGAAGAUGACAGGUCACCAAGAAUUAGGCUAUCCACACGCACCGCCUUUAAACUCAUCUCUAAAUAAGCAUGGCCCACCUGUCAUAACCGAUUUAGAGAUCAAACCAACGCAGCUCUCCACCGCCGCCCCGCCUCUAUCCACAUCGGCAAACCAACCGUCUCCUCCCUCCCUCCCCGACUCGCUCUCCGCUGCCCCUCUCUCCUCCCUCCCCUCCAGCGCGGCGGCCCGGCCUCCUCCUCCCUCCGGCGCGGCAGCCCGGCCUCCUCCCUCCCCAUCGCCCUCCCCGCCUGCUGCUCUCCGCCGCCCCUCUCCCCCCCCCCUCCCCUCCUCCCGGCCGGUGGCCCGGCGCGGGCAGCCUCCAGAUCCGCUCGCGGUGGGAGCUCGAGGACGUCGACCUGGCGACAAGAGCGUGGUGGCGACGGCACGAGGUCGUGGCAGCCGGUGAAGAGGCGGACGGCAGCCCCUAUUUCAAUUGGCAGGGGCGCGCUCUCCCCCUCCUUCUCCGGCGUGACAGCCUCUCGGCACGGGCGCGGCGGCCCGCUGCUCUCUGCCGCCACCCCUCUCUCCUCUCUCUUCCCUCCCCUCCGGCACUGCUCUCCCCUUCUCCCUCCCCACCGGCCACCUCCUUCCCGCCGGCCACACGCAGGACACUUCGCAGGCGGGGCACGAGAUUCGCGUCGAUAGGAUAGCGUUCGUCCGCUCGAGCGCUGGCUUUGGAGGUUUCCUGUAGCGAUCGGAGGGGUAGAGGUUGGGAUAGAGAGUAGCGGUGCGGGAGUUUGGCCGAUGUAUUUAGCGUUCCAGGAGAUUUACAGUCCUGCGGUGCGGAUAGCCUUAGCAGCAGAUGUCCCUCGUCAAAACUUCAAGCUAGUAGUCGGCAAAAUAGAAAGAGAUUUGUUCCACUUAGGCUGCUACGCCUACAACAAUGAUGACUGGGGAGCUAGGAAAUGGCAUGAUGCUGAUAAGGCCAACAUCAUUGGAAUACAGUAACAGCAAACUGAAAACAAAAGAGGGUACAUCAUGGGCCAACUGAAAGUAUAUUCUCCAUAACAUUUUUUUAGAAAAUAUGAAUAUAUCCAGCCUCUGUGAUCAACACACAACCAAGUUAUUACAUAAUCUUCAGCUCAGUUGCUGAUUAAAAAAAUAAAAAGAGAAAAUAAUUAUAAGCAAUGUUUAAUAUUACUUAUCCAUCCAUUUUUAACGAAAAUUUUCCAAAGCCUCCGUUGCUCUGCUAUUGAACGGACAGUCUCCCUUAUGUCCUCACACCAUAUUAAUAAAUCGCGAUCAAUAUGUUCCCUCGAAAGGAACCUCCAAAGCGAUGAAUGCAGAUCACCCACGAGCAGCCAAGCACGAACAGGGGACGCUGAAACACCACAUGGAUCUCCACGACAACACAUUCAAGAAGAACAAGACGCCAAUGACGCCAUCAUCAUCGGCCCAAGUAUUGGGCUGGGUUUACACCUGGAGAAUCAAAACAUCGUCAUAUGGGGGAGGUGCAAACAAAGUCGCCUCCAAGGAGGCAGUGGCACCUGCAAGUGUCACUGACCAUGCUUCUGCUCCGACCUCCACCACACCAUGCCAGCAGCAGACUGAGCAAAAAUGCACUCACCGAGCUGUUGAUGGUGCUGAGCACGCUCGCAACUGCCGGCCACCAUUAUCGAGAGCCAGCUGCUGCCGCGUCGAACUCACGCCCAUUGCGCUAGGGCUAAGGCGCCGGCCACAGCAAGACCUAGAUGCAUGUGUCACGUCAUGGCUGACACCACACCAAGUCCACCAUGCCGCCGGACUGUCACAACCGGAAGGGUGCCGGUCGUCAGAUCCGACCCUCGGCGCAUGGAAUCCACCGCCUAGAGGCUAAUAUCUCUGGAGAUGUUUCGAAAAAAAUAUCUCUGGAGUGAAAAUCUACACUUUAGAAGAUCCCCGGGGGAGGGGGAACGUGAAGGAGAGGCUCCCCGCGUGCCAUCAGCAUCACCGGAGAACCCAAGCAGCCACAUAUCCAGGGAUCUCCGAGGAACCCAUCGUCGGAUCCGGUCACGUUGGCCACGAAUCUGGGCCACCAUCACCGCUCCACGCCAAGGGGAAGCACCAGGGAUGCUGCUGCACCACGAACACCCGCAUCGGAUGACCUGUGGAAGAUCCACAGCGACACAACGAUGCGCGGCCAGCGAGAGCACCGGUACGAGAUGCCCGAUCCGGCAGUAGUCCACAACCUCAUAACGCCAUAACAUGCAGAUGCUAUAACUUUCUUGCGAAAGUGUUGCAAAUGGAACUCCUUAACUGUAAGGUUUAAUAGAUAUAAGAGAAAGCUAAAGAAAAUCAGCAUCUAAUCACAGCCUUGAUCGUGCCACUGAUCGAUGACAGCAGCCUUGUGGGGUUCUGAAGUCUGAACCCUUCGGCCCAGGAUUCUUUCAUCCUAGGACGCACCAGACCAUAAAAUAGAGGGGGAAAUGAACCAAAUUUGGUGGAUAUGCAUGGUAGAAAGAAACCUGCAAACUGCCAUGUGCUAAUAUGUUGAAAGGUUUCACCUCUAUGUGUAACGCUGCACUGUCCGAGUACCUCCAGCGUUGGAUGGAGAGAUGGCAAUCUUGGGGGGAAAAGAAACUACACACACCAAUGACAUACGGUAACAGCUUACAAUGAUGGUAGUGGAUUAAAGAAAUGGGAGCACCAGAAACAAAAUCCAGAGUCUCAACAGUCAAAAUCAAACAAGAUCAAACAAUAAAAGGUCUGAGCACCACAAGAGCACCAGGGGGGGGAUCAUCUCCAAUGUGGAUGCAUCAGUGGAGAUUGUAUGUCACAUAAGCAGUGUGGUGUCCUCCAGGUGCCCAGGUUGGUGUGUUAAACUGCCUCCGAUCCACAGCCAUCUUAGAACACUGCAUUCCAAGUUUCCAACACUCUUCAUGGUCUCAACUCUACUUGCACAUUCUCAAUGUGCUUUAUCUUGCUCCAAUCAUCUCCUGACUCGCUACAUCUUUGCUUAAGCCUCUUUGUGCAUUGUGAUAGUGUCAAGGUAUGCAAAGAGGUCAGCCUCUCAAUGCACGGAGGCAAAGUUUUCAUCCAGUAGGUCUCUACUUUGAGCUCACGGAGAGAGGCCAUAUCUCCCAACCAAUCUGGCAGUCCAUCGAUGCCCCUACAGUUCAAUAUCUCUAGCUUCCUGAGGGAUUUCCAGCCUAGAAUGCACUGUGGCAAAGGUACAGGAUCGAUGCAACUGUCAACAGUUAAUUCUUCAAUGUCAAGCAGUUGAAGAGAAUCGGAGUCAGAAGAUAUAUUUUCGAUGUACUUGAUUUCCAUUUUGGAUGAUAAAGCAGAUGUUGAUAGCCCCAUGACUUGGUAGAAUGAUGGCCAAUUGAAUAAGAAUGGAUAUUGUUUAAUUCCAGAUAUGAUAUACCUGGCACUCCAAGGGAUUGAUGGUUCGAAUCUUACAUUCAAACAACAGUCUAUCUCUAAAUAUUGAAGUCUAGGAAAUAAUGUGCGCUGGUAGGAGGAUUCCCUGCCAGUAUCACUGUGUCUUCCUUCCUGCUCUCUUUGAAAUAUGUUCUUAUCAUCCUUCUGCUCAAUACAAUGCGACGUCGAUGUUUCCCACAGUAACUUCCCUACUCUUACUAUUGUAACUCUUCUGAGAUUUUUCACUGGCUGUGUGCUCAAGAUGCAUAUUGAUGAUUUGGCAUAUAGGUCCAGUACAUCUGCCCUAGCCUUCAUGACCUCAAACACCGAGACAGACGAGAUAUACAAGGCUUCAAGAGAUUGUAAAUAAUCUAGAUGGAGGUGACCAGAUUGAACAUUGAAAAGCUCCAAUCUUACAAGAUUUGGUAGCAAACGUAACCAGUUAGGAAAAUCACCACCAACAUAGUUCUUUAUGCAAAGCCUUUUAAGGUUUUGAUGAGGCUGGAGCUCUUCUAACGCGACCUUGUUGAACACUGGAUUGAACCACUCCAAACUAAGCUCACUCCACUCCAAACUUAAAAAUUGGAGCUCCUCUUUUUGCGCCAAUUCAAUUAUGUUUGCUUCUGAGCUUGAUAGAUAUUCGAGAUGUUCAAUAUUAAGUUCAAUAAGCUGGUGACUUGUAGUCUUUUGCAGAAUAGCCAUGUCGUUUGAUGAAUCGAUGGCGAAACUAGUGCCCUGCAAGUUUACAAAGACAUAGAAAAUCAAAAAUAAAACAUUCUGCUUUAGUCAAGAUGGCAUGCAUACUAUAUAAAACCAUCUCUAGAUGCAAACAUGCAGCUUAGAGCAUCUCCACAUCUAAUAAAUAUUUCCAAAUAACUAGUUAAUAGGGACAUCCUAAUAUCUCUUUCAUUGUUAUUGGGAGAGUUGCUUUUGUAGUCUUCUAAUAACCUCAUCCCAAUCCAACUACCGAGUUGGGAGAGUCACAACUCCUCCUUUAUUUGGGGAGAGUUGGGGUGAAUUAUUUGUCGAAUGGAAAAAGGGAAAGGUAAAGGGAGUGUGUUAUAGCACUAUUUUUUCACGAACUCUCUCAAUAUGGUAGAUGUAUUGAGGAAUAGGGAUCUGCUGGAGAUACUCUUAGAUGUAAACCAUUGGACAAUUGAAUGCUGGAUGAGGCUUAUGGAAACAGAGCCAGCCAAGGAUUCCUACCUAACUCUAACCAAUCACGGAUAUGCACAGCAGAUAUGCUGGCAACAGAUCCUACCAGUAAGUUUUUUUCCAAAAAAAAAACAUACCCUACCACGUACACAGCACAAAAAUACAAUUCUAAAAAAUUUGAUGUUCGCCUGGUAUAUCCCAAAAGUUGCUUGACUAUUUUAAUUUGGAGCUUGCUUGACUACUCCUUCCAUCCCAUAUUAUAGGUCAUUUUGGUAUUUCUAGGUUUAUGAUUUUUUGUUGUGCACCUAGAUAUAUAUUAUAUCUAGAUACAUAUUAGAAGCUAUGAAUCUAAAAAUGCCAAAACAACAAACAAUUUGGGAUGGAGGGAGUAUUUUAAUUUGGAGAAUCAGGUCUACUAUAAGUGACACAAUUAAGCAAGGUAGUGGCAUAUCAAACAAUAAAUUAAAUAUUUAUGUUAGAAAGGGAUUCCAUUAAUUCAUCCAUAUAUACGAUAUUCACUCCCUAGAAUUAAUGAAAAUACAGUAAUAAAUCACAUGCCUGCAUGAUAGAUUGAGCCUCUUGUUAUGCAACCGUAAUUUAUAGUAUACAUUGUAGAACAAAACAGUAAUAAUUAAAAACAGUGCAUAUUACCUCAUGUGCAUCUACAUGUUUGAUGUGUUUAAUCUUGUCGUAGUCCUCUCCUAAACGGCUGCAGCAUUCACGCAGUUUGUAAUUGCACUUCUUAAGGGUUAAUGUCCUCAAGGAGGUUACAUUCUUGAUGGAGUGAGGCAAACGCUGCAGUUUGGCAGAAUGAACUUCUAGCUCCUCCAGAGACGCCAGAUCCCCCAACCAAUCUGGAAGUGCCGCAAAAUUACAACUGUCCAAUAUCUGCAAGCUCCUAAGGGAGUGGCAGCUCCGGAUGAUCUCCGGCAAGGUGAUCAGAUCACUGUCAGAUUUAAUAGUUAAAUUCCUCAAGUCGGUGCUGUAUUGGAGAAAUUCUGAAGCGUCAGAGAAGCCAAAGAUAUUUGAUUCCACUUCAAGUCUAAAAAGGUGUGAAGAUCCAACGAGUAUCCCGGGUGAUAGUUCUACCUCACUGCAUGAUGCAACUAUACGCCCUAUGUAUCCUUGAAAAGCUGAACCGAGGGUCAACCUAGGGCAUCCCGUAACAACGAGGUGUGCAAGGCGUGGAAAUAUUUCAUCUCCUUGCACCUUCUGUUCAUCAUCAUCCCAAGACAUCUCUCCAGCAGAUAGCUCCAAGUUCGUGGACAACACCUCCAAAUUCUCCAUCUUAUUAAUACAAAGUUCCCUUAAUUUCCUGAAUGGGUCCCUGCCUCCAUAAAAACUAGUAUCCACUUCUCGAAUAUUAGGCAUAUCUGAAAUGUGCAGUUCUUCAAGGUUUGCUAACUGUCCUAGUGAAGGGAGGCGUGCGCACCUUGGCAUGCCCAUCAGCUCUAUCUUCACAAGAUUUGGAAGAUAGAGAUUUGGAUCGCUCAUCCAGCCACAAAAUGUGGCAUCUCGAUAACCUUCUAUUUGAAGUGUUGAUAGGUUAGGAUGAGGAUGGAGUCUUUGGAGAACUGAAGAAUCAUCAGCUCUGGAGAAUUUUUUGCCCAGAUUAAGAUAUACAUUGUUAGGCCUAUCUUCUGAUCCAGAUAAACCAUUGCUGGAAUAAGAGUUGCGUCAUGGGACCAUACCAAUCUCAGUGUGCGCAGCUGGUCAUAUGUAGCCAACUCUCCAAGGCCAACUUCAUCAGCGCUAUUCACCUUCUCAAGAUUUGAAAUAAAUAGGUCUGUGAUUCCAAAGUCUGUAUUUUGACGGAGGAGAAAAUCACUUUCUUGUACUGCAAAAUACAUUCCCUGUGAAGGAAGAGAGAGUUAGACUAUUACCAAAUGCAACGAAAAUAUUUAUGCAUCCAUUCUGUUCUAGAUAAGAAUUAGAAAAUGUCCAUUGUAAAAGAGGAGUAACGAAGCACAGCCAAGAGAAAUUACCCCAUUUAUCUUGAUGCAUUGAAUUUGAGGAAUAGCCUUUAGGAUUUCAGCUUUGUCUGUGUGCAAGAAAUUCUCAGGAGAUGACAAAGUUAGCUUCACCAAACGAUCCAUGCAUCUCAAUUCAUAAAAACGGUGAAACUUCUCGAGGCAAUCAAUUUCAAGCUCAUGUACUGAUUGAAUGCCAGGCAGUUUCUGAAGAUCAAAGCUCUUACAGUUCGAUAUCUUGAGUUUUUGGAUGGUUUGUUCAAUGACUAAAUCACCACUAUUAAUACGUGUCAAUGUGGGGAUUGACAACUCGUUGACGAAGAACUCCAAAUCAUCACUAUUAAUACGUGUCAAUGUGGGGAUUGACGACUCGUUGAUGAAGAACUCCUGGCUGUUGGGGAUUCUUGGUUUUAGUUUCAGAUAAUUGCAGUGUUCUAUCUUCAGAUAGCAAAGCGGAGGGAAUGCUUCUUUGGCUGGACAUGGUGCAGAAGAAGAUACAGGAACGUGUGUCAUCUGUGUUCUCUUUUUAGUCACUCCCAGUAAUGUUUCCAUCAUGUUCCUUGUCAUUGCUGUAAACUUUGCUUUUCCUUUUCCUCGGGAAGGAUCACCAGACUGCGUCCUGAACACUUCAAGCCUCUUGAAUUCUUCUGAAGGAUCUAAUUCCAUGUCAUGUAUCUCUUCAGAGCUUCUAUUUGUUCUCAAAGCCGAACCAUCUUGGCAAAACCACAAGGUGCAUCCGAAUGCUAGUUCAACAAGCGACAGUCUCUUUAGGUUUCUGCAUGGUGCUAAACAUGCUUCCAUAAGUUUAGGCAUAUUACGAAUUUCAAGCUCCUGUAAGUUUGAUAGAUUUCCUAGAGUUGGAAGCUGGUCACACUCUACGAGAUCAGACAAUACCAGUUUCACCAGAUUUGGGAGUGUAGAACAUAUCUCCCUCAUCCAACUAGGAAACAUACUGUAAUUAUAGCCCUUUAUAGUGAGAUGCUUUAAAGCUGGAUGAGGCUUCAAAUUUUCGAGCACAUCCCUUGUCGUCACUUGGGGUUCCUCUGACCAUUCUAAUGAGGACCACUCCAAACUCAAAGAAGCAAGCCGAUGUCUCCUUCCCAGUUGCACCCCCUUUGCUUCCUCUGCAGACGUCACAACCUCAAGGCAUUUGAUAUUUAGUUCACUGUUUGUAGAAUCAAGGAUAUUCUGUAGAAGGAUAAUGUUGCUGCAAUCACCACUGCCUCUUUCUGAGACCACAAAAUCCGGUAGGGUUAGUAGGUCACUGGAGAUGCCUUCCUUUGAGAACAGUGACAUCCCUCCAACUGAAAGGUACUCAAGGCAAUGCAUGUUUUUCAAUGUGUCAUGCAGCAUUUUCAGGCUCAACUCCUCACCAGAAUAAUCAGAGGAAUGCUGUGUAGAGGAGCUUGGAGCUUCAGAAUCUUUUCUUACAUCAAAUCCUGAUAACGCUGAUAGGUUUAGGUACUCCAAAUUUACAAAUUUACUAAGAAAGCAGAUAAUUUUCGGAAUGCAAGGACAACCAGAUAAAUUCAGAAAUCGGAGUUUAUUUAGUCUGGCACAAGAUUCAGAAAGAUCAAUAAGCCUCCCACAAUCAGAUAAAUCCAAAAUCUCCAGGUUCAGGCAGCCAUCAUUGCCCACACAAAAUUCAGGAAGUGCCUCAAGGCAAGUACAACCAGACAAAUUAAGAUAAAGAAGUCCCUUCAUUCUCUUGAAUGACAGGGUACGCAGUUGCUUAAGCUGGCAGCAGGAGGACAGAUUCAGAUGUUCCAAAUUUUUCAGUAGACUGAAAGAGUCUGGAAGCAUCUCAAGCUUUGAACAACAUGACAAGUUCAAGAACGAAAGCUUUUGCAGCUCCCCAAAUUGUGAAGGUAGCUUUUGUAGGCUGGUACAUCCUGAUAGAUCAAGAUGUUCCAGGACUUGGAGUCUGUGAAUGGGACCUGGAAGCUCACUAAGAUUCGAGCAGCCAUGUAGAUCCAAAUAGUGUAGCUUCUGAAAGUCACAAAUGGAAGUGGAACUAUGGAGCUUUACUUUUUUAGAAAAGGAGCUAUGGAGCUUUUUGAGGCUGGUAUUUUCUGAAAGAUUUAAAAACUGCAGGUGGUGCAAGUUUUCCAUAGAACUGGGUAGCUCAACAGUUUGCAUGCGUGGGAAGUCCAAUACACGCAGCCAUUUAGUUUCUGAAAAGGCACCCUUCGAAGGCUGACAUCCUGUGCAGCCACUAAAAUGAGCAGCCCUUGCUUUGAAAGGCAUAUCUUUGCAUUUUGGGUGCUGACCUUUGAAAUUCAACAACAACGUGUAUCGAUAGUUGUCCUUUUUAGGACCGAAGCUUCCUUGUUUGCCAUCACAGAUGGCAACUUCCUCAAUAGCAACUGACCUAGCAAGUUCAUGAACUAAAUCGUGCAUUUUGAAUAAUACAUUAUGAGGGUUAUUAAGCUUGGAGUAUCUUGCAGAAAUCUGAAAAGCAAAUUUGCAGGUCGAUUAGUAGUGCACUAGAUAUUUUUUUCAAGGACUCAACGGUAAUUUGCAACAUCAGGGAGUUUACUUGUCAUGUUUAUUUGAUUGGUUGAUUUCAGUAAGCAUAAAACAGGCAACUUAAGAAAUAAUGUUCGUGUCACUAUACUUAUCUUUUAAAUAACGUUGACUCAAAUAUUUAUAAGAUGUUAGAAUUGAAUCCAACCAUGUCCGAAUGAUUCAUCAUAGGAUCACUCCAUGAAUUUUACACCGCGAUCGAUAUGCUUGUGCGAAAUGAAGUGGAUUAUUCAAAACUAGAAUCAGAGGAUUUAUGACUAUCUCAUUCUUCAAACCAAACAUUAUAUUGAAUUAGUAGUAGAUGAACGCCAUAUUCUGAAAUAAGAUUAAAAUACUAAUAAAUCAUGCGAGAAAUGACAGCACAACUCAAUACAAGGAAAAGAGUUAACUGUACCAAGCCUGUGUAUAUAAUAUAACUCACCGAGAUAGAGUCACUUGUAGCCUCCAGGAAUGACAUCUGACAAAGUUCAUGUAGGUAUUCCUCAGCACGAUGUGUGGUCAGAACAAAUCUCAGAGCAAUCCACUUAUGAAUCAGUUCUCUCUUCUCUAUGACGAAGCCUUUUGGGAAGGCAGAAAAGUAUACAAAGCAAGGUCUCAGAUAAUAUGGCAUGUGGUAGUAACUAAUCUUCAAGGAUGGUAAUAUUGCAGUAGAUGUUGUUCCAGUCGUUGGAUCGCGUUCGUGUUCCCACAGGUCACUCUUCAGAGUUUCUUCCCACUUGUGCAUCGGCAUAUCUAGCAGACGAUCCCCAAGAGAUUUGACUGCCAAAGGCACUCCAUCGCAUUUCUUUACUAUUUUCUCCCCCAUAUGUACCUUUGCCAUUUCAGAUUCUUUAAUUCCAUUUGGAAAUGCCUUAGCUUUGAACAGCUUCCAGCAGUCAUCGUAAGGCAAGGCACCCAACUUGAAUGGCAACUCUCGAUUCAUCCGCUUAGCAACCUGUUCACUUCGAGUGGUCACAAUUAUCUUUCUGCCUGGUGCGCCACCUUUCAACAUCGCUUUUUAUCUUUUGCAAUUGUCCUGUGUUUUCUUCCCAUAAGUCAUCUAAAACAAUAAGAUACUUCUUUCCACGGAGGAUCAUCUCCACGCGCAUCUGCACGGAGGACAAGUCAUACUGGUUACUCUGUCCAUCUACUUGGGAGAUAAUUGAUCGACCAAUCUUUUCAUCGCUAAAACUUGUGGAGACAUAAACCCAAAUCUGGAUAUCAAAAUCUCUCUUAGUUGUAUUGUCAUCGAAAACCAUUUGGGCGAGAGUGGUUUUACCCAGACCACCAAAGCCAUAUAUAGGGAUGAUGGUGUGCUUGCAAUCUUCUUGCAGCAACUUCAUCAACUCUACCUUGUCCUUGUCCCUCCCAAGUAUACCUUCUACAAGGCAAGGGCCUGUAGCCCGUGUCUGGAUCACGUCCUGGUCGUCAGAGCUUGUGUCCACCAUCAAGUCGAACCGCCUCAGCUUUUCUAUGUUGUCCAAUCUUUGUUUCAUGGCCUUCAACUUGCUAGGCAUGCUUAGCCGCAACUUCAGAGGAAUGGAGAUCUCCUGCAAAUCCAUGUCGUGAAUUAGAAAAGGGACAAGAAAUGGAAAUGGACAUAUCGACAUCAAACACACUCGAGACCUACCGUUGUAGAUUUGUUAUUCUGCGAGUCAUCUUUAUUACUCAGGAUAGCACCUUCAAAUUCCAUAAUAAUGUCCUCCAUGUCAUAGGCUGCUGCCUUUAGCUCCCUCAUCCAGACGCAGACGUCACCAUCUUUCAUCAACCGCUUCUCCACCCUAACCAUGCUAUUUUGGAUGGCAUCCACAGUAUCCUUGAGGCCUUUGAGCUCAUCACCUAGCUUCAGCUGCGAGGCGAUCGCCUCCCAGAUGGCACUACCUAGCAUGCCGCCGACCUGCUUCAAUGCGGCCGAGGCGAGAAACUCCCCUACCCCCACCAUGUGGCUGAAGGGGACGCCAAUCACACAGUGCGAUGAGUGCUUGACAUCAGGCCGGGUGAGGAACAGUCCAAGAGAAAAACUGGAGAAGACACAGCGAGAAAUUGUCAGUCUCUCUCUGCUUUUGACCUGAAAAUCACAACCCUUGCAGCAAACUCUGUAUCAAGGACAGGCAGGAAAUAUUUACAAGCAAGGAGGAAAAGGGCAAAUAUUUCAGUCAGAAUUGAGACAAAUAAUAGCACCCGAGGUGCGCUUUAGAUCGUACUCUGUUUCAAUUAAACUGACUCGAGAUGGAAACCCCGAUUCGGAUGCGAGGUGGAAGGAAAGAAAGGUGAUUAGUUCUCAGCUUUUACCGUGAGGGUGGUGUGUUGUGUCCAGCACCCGAUGGGAUGGCAGGUAUAACUAAUACUAUGCCUGCAGCUGCAAGAGGCGGAGCCACCUAGGCGAUCGUCUACUCCUCUUCCUCGGCAUGUUUCUGUGCAGGCAUUGCAUUGGGCCUUGGGGGUACCGUAUUUGGAUUCGGUGAACACGAACGAUGAGUUUUGUAAUCCUCGUCACAUUGGUCUAAUUGUGUGGGAAAGAGCCCUCUAAUUUAACCUAUUAAAUUUAAGGAUUGAGCUCACUAAGAACCGAGCUGAAAUACUAUAUGAUUUUAAGCUAAAUAUACUUAGGGUUGAGUUGGAUUGUGAAGGAAGCACAAGUGUCAUGAUUCAUUAUCAACCUAAUUGUACUAUACGCACCCAAGGAAAACUUUUCUAGACUCGCCAGCCAUUUGUCACCAUGUGCCUAUGAACCCGAGGAGUACCACAAUUUCUUACUUGCCAAAUUGAUAAUUCUUCAAUCCAUCGUUUCACAUGGAAUGAGGCCCAAUUCCAUUGCUUUUGAAAUUGGCUCCAAUAUAUGACCAUAUGACUGUCAUCAGCUAUCCGUCAAAGUCCUUGAAACGACAGUGGUGUCCCCGCGACUUGUCAAGAUUAGGACUACCUGCACAUCAGAAUUCACAUUCAGUUUAGUGUAUCGCAUCAGCUCCAAAAUCGUCGAAUUUGUUCUCGCCUAAUCCAAUCAUUGGCGCGACGACUCUUGUUUUGAUACUGAAUUGACCCAUACGGACAAAAGUGGCCCUCGCCACGGCGAGCGCAACAGCAGUGUCCUACUCCAAAGUCCUACCUCGCAACAGCAGCGAGGCGCCGCCGUCUGAUUCCCCCCCAUAGGUAGCCCACGGAGCUAGGCAGGCUGCGCCAUCCUGGGCCACGUCCGCUCAGAUCUUGCGCUUCCCCUGCGCCGCCAGAGGGAGGAUGGGACGGCAGGAAGAAGUUUCUAAAAUUGACAGCAGGAGAGCGGCUUCGGGAUUUAGGGAAGAAUGGGGAGCGAGAAAAGGAGACAUCCACUUACAAGUGGGCCAACUUGUCAUAGACCAGGUAUUCAGGGCCCUAUCACCAAUUUUGCUUUUGUGAGAGAACAAAAAUGUGACAGGAUGAUUGGCAUUUUGGUGAUCAUGCCUCGUUCGAUAAGUUCUAAAUUAGGAGGACCUUUUAAAUUUACAGCCAUUGUUUUUUUCUUCUUUUUCCUUUUGUGAAUGGGCGGAUCUAGGACCCUGCCCAUAUAGUCCUUUAGCAUUUGUGGUGUUUAGACUAAAAAAUGUAUAAUCUUAAUUAGAGAAAAGGAGGUCAAGGCAAGGUUACACUGUGUUUUGGGCACAAACGAGCAAUUCAGCCGCAGCCCCGUUCUGGUCCGCCCCUGUUUGUGAUGGCUCCUGACAUCGAGCAUCUUAUUGCCAACUGGCCUCUGACAGAAAAAAGAGGCAGGACACAGGAAACGGGCAUCCAAUCAUCCGCAUAUACAACAAAAACUCCAGUGUUUCACAAAGACAAGAAUCCGAAUUGUGCAUUCCUUCAUCAUCAUCAUCAUCGAAAUAUCUACAGUCAAUACAAACUUCCCAAUACACCAAAUGCCAAACUCCAAACCUGUAGAAUGGCCAGAGAUUUGCUCCACACGGCUACUGCAACUAGACCCAAAAACUUAGGUGACACCAUGGCUGAUAGUGAUAAGUUCAACUUGAUUGCAACACAGAAAAUGGAAGAAAGGCACUGUAUGGGGAACUGAAACUUCUCUCUAUGGCAUAGAUAAAUCUAGUGCUCUCCCCGGCAAAAUUAAAGUAACCGGUCCAUCGAUCUUCUUCCUCUAAAGCCAUUUGAAGAGGAUGCCUCCAUGGGUGGCGAAGAAGGGGGCAAAGACCAGGGACUCAACGGCCAUGAGCUUGAUGAGGAUAUUCAGUGAUGGGCCUGAGGUGUCCUUGAGCGGAUCACCGAUGGUGUCACCAAUGACAGCAGCUUUGUGUGGAUCGGAGCCUUUGGGGCCCAGAGUUCUUGCGUGCUCAGAUGCACCAGCCUGUAAAACCAUGGAGAGAACCAAAGUUAGUCGAGUUUGACAAAUAUGGAUAGGAAGAAAACUGCUGAUUGAUAGGUGCUAUUGUUUCUACCUCGAUGUAUUUCUUUGCAUUGUCCCAGGCACCUCCAGUGUUGGAUGCAGAGAUUGCAAUCUGAAUGAGAAUAUAGAUAAUUAGUUAUGAAUGAAACAUGCCGACAUCACAAGAGAUUAUAACAAUGAAAGCAACCACGGAAAGAGUACCAACCUGGACACCAGAAACAAGAGCACCAGCAAGAACACCAGAGAGGGUCUCAACACCAAACAAGAUCCCAACAAUAAGCGGGGUGAGCAUGACAAGUGCGCCUGGGGGGAUCAUCUCCUUGAUAGACGCAUCAGUGGAGAUCUUGACACAUGUCGCAUAGUCAG